UACGUAGGGGGCUAGCGUUGUCCGGAUUUAUUGGGCGUAAAGAGCGUGUAGGCGGCCAUGUAGGUCCGGUGUGAAAACUCGAGGCUUAACCUCGAGAUGUCAUCGGAAACCAUUUGGCUAGAGUCCGGAAGAGGAGAGUGGAAUUCCUGGUGUAGCGGUGAAAUGCGCAGAUAUCAGGAAGAACACCAAUGGCGAAAGCGGCUCUCUGGAACGGUACUGACGCUGAGACGCGAAAGCGUGGGGAGCAAACAGG
This 253-nucleotide ribosomal RNA is filed under the name uncultured bacterium. RNAcentral's name for it is "partial 16S ribosomal RNA". It matches the Rfam family "Bacterial small subunit ribosomal RNA", at positions 524 to 776 of the family's 1533-position model. The record is from RNAcentral.